Long non-coding RNA from Nicotiana attenuata, 649 nucleotides. RefSeq lists it as uncharacterized. NCBI's taxonomy places the organism in Eukaryota, Viridiplantae, Streptophyta, Magnoliopsida, Solanales, Solanaceae. The record is from RefSeq and is a predicted model, not a curated record. The transcript has 3 exons.
UAAUUCAGUCAGUUGCAAUUGCACAGUCCAUUUUCAGUGCACCCAAGGGUGAUGGUCCAAUUGCUGUAAAUCUUGGGUCCAUGGGAAAAGGUGAAGCUUGGGUUAAUGGCCAAAGUAUCGGCAGAUAUUGGGUCUCAUUUCACACAUCUGCAGGUACAAUGUUCCAAGGUCAUUUCUCAAACCUAGAAAUAACCUAGUAGUUGUAUUUGAGGAAGAAAUGGGCAACCCUCUUAACAUCACUCUCGACGCAAUUUCAGUCACAAAGGCCUGUUCAGGGAAGGGGAAAUGCACUAUUGCUCAGUCAUAUAAGAAAUUCGGCAGUGAUCCGUGUCCUGGAGUUCAUAAGUCUCUGCUAGUUGAUGUUCAGUGUGAAUGAAUACACAACUUAUCAUCUCAUUUUUUUGCUCAUUAUAAAUGGAAGAUGUACAGAAUUAUAGGGAUGUAUAGGUGCAUUCAUUUAAUAAAUGUACAUCCAUAUAAUUAUAAGUUGAAUUUGUAUAGACGAAAUGUGACAAAUAUGUUAGAAAUUAGAAUAUCUCAGCUUAUCACAUAGGCUCUUGGAAGUUCAAUUCUUCAACAACCAAAGAAAUAAAAUGCUAUGUAGUUCCAAGAUUAAUGUUGUUUUUAUCGUAUAUAAACUUUUGUUCAU